UUAAUAGCCGCACAAUGGACUAGCAGAUAAUCAACUAUCUCUGAUUCUUCAUAUGCAUGAAUAUUUUAUUUGAUAUAUUUUUCUAAUUUACUUGACAAAUUUGUAUAUUUGACGGAUGAGACGUAUGAUCAAAAUCUAAAAGUAGAUAUUACUUUAUUUCUUGAAUAAGAUAAAUUACAUCAUAGAUGACAUAUAAUAUCCUAUCAAAUCAUAGAUACCAAUACAUUUCAAAAUAUAAAAAUAAUCAAAUUCAUUUCUUACAAUCACACCUAAAAAUUUUGAUACCGAAUUCAUUUUUCUUAAAAAAUUUAUUUCAACUUCCAAACAGAAUUAAAUAAUAAUAAUUAUAAAAUAAUAUAACAAUGAAAUGACUUGCUAUCACUAUU
RNAcentral lists this long non-coding RNA (386 nucleotides) under Ananas comosus (pineapple). RNAcentral's name for it is "long non-coding RNA (ACOM_LNC033764)". Lineage: Eukaryota; Viridiplantae; Streptophyta; Magnoliopsida; Poales; Bromeliaceae. The record is from RNAcentral.